GGGGGCUAGCGUUGCUCGGAAUCACUGGGCGUAAAGCGCACGUAGGCGGAUUGCUAAGUCAGGGGUGAAAUCCUGGAGCUCAACUCCAGAACUGCCUUUGAUACUGGCAACCUUGAGUCCGGGAGAGGUGAGUGGAACUGCGAGUGUAGAGGUGAAAUUCGUAGAUAUUCGCAAGAACACCAGUGGCGAAGGCGGCUCACUGGCCCGGUACUGACGCUGAGGUGCGAAAGCGUGGGGAGCAAACAGG
This 247-nucleotide ribosomal RNA is filed under the name uncultured bacterium. RNAcentral's name for it is "partial 16S ribosomal RNA". It matches the Rfam family "Bacterial small subunit ribosomal RNA", at positions 530 to 776 of the family's 1533-position model. The record is from RNAcentral.